GUACUUCCUUCGGUAGUAUAUAUAAUAAAAUUGAAACGAUGCAAAGAAGUGUUAGCGUGGCUCGUGCGCAAGGAUGACAUGCAAAGUCGUGAAGUGUUGCAUUGAAAU
This is a small nuclear RNA of Bombus pyrosoma, 108 nucleotides long. NCBI's taxonomy places the organism in Eukaryota, Metazoa, Arthropoda, Insecta, Hymenoptera, Apidae. The record is from RefSeq and is a predicted model, not a curated record.